GACGAACGCUGGCGGCGUGCUUAACACAUGCAAGUCGAACGGAAAGGCCCCUUUUGGGGUCCUCGAGUGGCGCACGGGUGAGUAACACGUGAGUAACCUGCCCUUGACUUCGGGAUAACUUCAGGAAACUGGGGCCAAUACCGGCUAGGAAUCCUUGCUGCAUGGUGGGGGUUGGAAAGCUUCGGCGGUUUUGGAUGGACUCGCGGCUUAUCAGCUUGUUGGUGGGGUAGUGGCUUACCAAGGCUUUGACGGGUAGCCGGCCUGAGAGGGCGACCGGCCAUAUUGGGACUGAGAUGCGGCCGAGACGCCUACGGGAGGCAGCAGUGGGGAAGAUUGCACAAGGGGCGGAGGCCGGAUGCAGCAAGGCCGCGUGCGGGAUGACGGCCUUCGGGUUGUAAACCGCUUUCAGCAGGGGCGAAGCUUGUGGUGACGGUACCUGCAGAAGAAGCACCGGCUAACUACGUG
RNAcentral lists this ribosomal RNA (465 nucleotides) under uncultured bacterium. RNAcentral describes it as "partial 16S ribosomal RNA". It matches the Rfam family "Bacterial small subunit ribosomal RNA", at positions 28 to 507 of the family's 1533-position model. The record is from RNAcentral.